Molecule: ribosomal RNA, 498 nt
Filed under: uncultured bacterium
Lineage: Bacteria
Description: bacterial SSU rRNA
Rfam family: Bacterial small subunit ribosomal RNA
Source: RNAcentral
AGCGAACGCUGGCGGCGUGCCUAACACAUGCAAGUCGAACGGUUCUGUUGGGGGCUUGCUCUCGACAGAGUAGUGGCAAACGGGUGAGUAACACGUGGGUAAUCUUCCUUCGAGUGAGGAAUAACUUCGGGAAACCGGAGCUAAUACCGCAUAACAUCUUGGGACGGCAGUUCCAAGAUCAAAGGGGGCGCAAGCUCCCGCUUGAAGUUGAGCUCGCGUCCUAUCAGCUAGUUGGUGAGGUAAUGGCUCACCAAGGCUCCGACGGGUAGCCGGCCUGAGAGGGUGGCCGGCCACACUGGGACUGAGACACGGCCCAGACUCCUACGGGAGGCAGCAGUGGGGAAUAUUGCGCAAUGGACGAAAGUCUGACGCAGCGACGCCGCGUGGGUGAUGAAGGCCUUCGGGUCGUAAAGCCCUGUUGAGGGAGAGAAAGCUACUGUCGGUUAAUACCCGGCAGUGGUGAUAGUAUCCCUAGAGAAAGCACCGGCUAACUACGUG